GCCUCUCACUGCUGUGGCCUCUCCCGUUGCGGAGCACAGGCUCCAGACGCGCAGCCUCAGCGGCCAUGGCUCACGGGCCCAGCCGCUCCGCGGCACGUGGGAUCUUCCUGGACCGGGGCACGAACCCAUGUCCCUGGCAUCGGCAGGCGAACUCUCAACCACUGCACCACCAGGGAAGCCCCAAAUGCGCAAAUGAUAGAGGCAUACAAUCCUUUUCUUUAUGCUAUUCCUCAGACUAGUUGAACUACCUAGAGGGUCUUCCAGAUUGCCGUCUUCACCUAAAAGGACUUGGCCUUGAUCCUUUGUAGAUUUCUCAUUGUUGACUCCCUUGUUGCUUACAGUCAAAAUUACAUCAGCUGUUAUUCUUCCCAUCUAUAUGUAUUUUUCUUCUAUCUGGGUCUCUUCUUCAGAAAGUCUUGCAACCAUCUUCAAUGUUUAUGGUCACAAUAACCUUAAUAUUUAGCGUUAGGUGACUAAUAGGCACCCAUGGGACAGACUUUCAUGUUUACUUUAUGUAAAAACCAACGAAUUUUAUUGAGUACUACUUAGCCCAAACAAGGUAUUCUUUACAGAAUUCCAAGUUCAACACAUGCUGCCUAGAUGGCAGUCCUAGGAUCCUGGACCAUCUUAGUUAUAUAUCACCUUUUCUCCAUUUGAAUGCAAUAUUCCCUCACCAAGAAUCCUAUGAAGUCUACACUCAUUCAUUGAAGAGUACUGUGCAAAACACAAAACUGAAAGUGUUUGCCCCCUUGAGGUCAGCAACAGUGCUAAGGGAUAAAGAAGGUAGAGAGAGAUAAGAAGUUUGUAUUAAAUUCAAAGACUUUCACCAAGAAUUUAUACAAUUUAUACAAUUUCAGGCAACUGAGAAUUUUAAGCAAAGUACUUUAAGCAAAGUAUACAACUUCAUGACUGAAGUGAAUAAAAUAAUUCUGAAAAAACUG
Molecule: long non-coding RNA, 941 nt
Organism: Lagenorhynchus albirostris (white-beaked dolphin)
Lineage: Eukaryota; Metazoa; Chordata; Mammalia; Artiodactyla; Delphinidae
Exons: 2
Source: RefSeq, a predicted model, not a curated record